GAAACUUUGUAAUGGAAUGCUGUCACUACAGAUAACACUUGGCAUCAAACUCCUUAGAUAUAAUAAUAACAAUCAAAUAAUCAACAACAUUCCAUUGCCAUCUAUUUUGGCCAAACUGCCUUCCAACAGCAGAAUUUUGAAAAAUUACCAAAGAACCGACUUAAGGUCAAAUAACAAAAAUUACAUGGCGUCCUAAUGGUCAAAGUUACCAUGUUUUAUUAAGAAAUGACACGAUGCAAACUGUCCUAAA
RNAcentral lists this long non-coding RNA (250 nucleotides) under Coffea arabica (coffee). RNAcentral's name for it is "long non-coding RNA (CARA_LNC003802)". Lineage: Eukaryota; Viridiplantae; Streptophyta; Magnoliopsida; Gentianales; Rubiaceae. The record is from RNAcentral.